RNAcentral lists this long non-coding RNA (574 nucleotides) under Pomacea canaliculata. RNAcentral's name for it is "uncharacterized LOC112553372". Lineage: Eukaryota; Metazoa; Mollusca; Gastropoda; Architaenioglossa; Ampullariidae. The record is from RNAcentral.
GGUAAAAUUAUGAUGGACAGUCAGUUAAUGACUGCCUGAGGUUAGGAGAACAACAUAUAAAAACGGUCGCUGUUAGAAGGAACAUCAUUCUGCUCUCGUCACAAGAACAAGUCCCCGUGCAACUUGGGAAAACCAGCUUUCAACUCAUUCACAAUGAAGGUUGCUGUCCUCCUGUUGCUGUGCGCCGUCCUGGCCAUGAGCUCCGCCAUCAUUAACCCUUACAUAUACAAGUACGGCGGUCUGGGUCUGGGUGGCCUGGGUGGCCUGGGUUAGGACUGGGUGGCCUGGGAUUCGGCGGUCUUGGAUUUGGUGGACUGGGCUUUGGCGGUCUGGGACUCGGCCUCGGUAGGUUUGGUCUACUGGGCGGCGGUCUGUACGGAGGCUUUCCUUUCCUUGGAGGCUUCAAGGGCGGCCUGUACUACUAAAUGGCUGUAAACCAUCAGAUAUCGCCAUUGUCUCUCCUUAGUGAGAGUUAAAAUCAGGUGCUGGAUUCUUCUGAAGAACAGAGUCAAAUUUCAAUUUUAAGAAAACUGUGCUUCAUCGUAUUAAAUACAAAAUAAACAGAUAAAAGCUC